UACGUAGGGCGCAAGCGUUGUCCGGAAUUAUUGGGCGUAAAGAGCUCGUAGGCGGCCUGUUACGUCUGCUGUGAAAUCCCGGGGCUUAACCCCGGGCGUGCAGUGGAUACGGGCAGGCUGGAGGCAGGCAGGGGAGAACGGAAUUCCCGGUGUAGCGGUGAAAUGCGCAGAUAUCGGGAGGAACACCGGUGGCGAAGGCGGUUCUCUAGUACGGUACUGACGCUGAGACGCGAAAGCGUGGGGAGCGAACAGG
RNAcentral lists this ribosomal RNA (253 nucleotides) under uncultured bacterium. RNAcentral describes it as "partial 16S ribosomal RNA". It matches the Rfam family "Bacterial small subunit ribosomal RNA", at positions 524 to 776 of the family's 1533-position model. The record is from RNAcentral.